This is a non-coding RNA of Schistosoma rodhaini, 45 nucleotides long. The record is from Rfam. NCBI's taxonomy places the organism in Eukaryota, Metazoa, Platyhelminthes, Trematoda, Strigeidida, Schistosomatidae.
AUUUAGCUGACAAGUCUUAAACAGAACGAAACGCAUGUCCUGGAU